GUAAUAUCCCGACUGGUUUAUCAAUAGGUAAUGUCCCGACGAGUUUCUCAACAGGCAAUGUCCCGACUGGUUUCUCGAUGGGCAAUGUCCCAACUAGCUUCUCAAUAGGUAAUAUCCUGACUGCUUUAUUAAUAGGUAAUGUCCCAACUGGUUUCUCAAUAGGUAAUGUCCUGACUGGUUUCUCAAUAGGUAAUAUCCCAACUAGUUUCUCAUGGGUGAGUACACCAGUGGGGGUGCAUUCAACACUCUGCAACUCUGUUAAAUGCCACCACAUUUAAACAUCCCG
This 286-nucleotide long non-coding RNA is filed under the name Salmo salar (Atlantic salmon). RNAcentral describes it as "lncRNA (ENSSSAG00000118359.1)". The record is from RNAcentral. Lineage: Eukaryota; Metazoa; Chordata; Actinopteri; Salmoniformes; Salmonidae.